RNAcentral lists this ribosomal RNA (832 nucleotides) under Hypogymnia madeirensis. RNAcentral describes it as "partial small subunit ribosomal RNA". It matches the Rfam family "Bacterial small subunit ribosomal RNA", at positions 356 to 1163 of the family's 1533-position model. Lineage: Eukaryota; Fungi; Ascomycota; Lecanoromycetes; Lecanorales; Parmeliaceae. The record is from RNAcentral.
GAGGAAUGUAUAGCAAUAGCUACCUGCAUCAUUGUAAAAAUGAUGCAGGAUCGACUAUGUCGAAUAAAAUUCUAGGUAGAAUUAUGAUAAUGACAUUGUCUGCCUAUGUGUCUUGACCAAAUUACGUGCCAGCAGUCGCGGUAAUACGUAGAAGACUAGUGUUAUUCAUGUUUAAUCGGUUUAAAGGGUACCUAGACGGUAAAUCAAGCCUAAAAUUAAAUCAAAUGAAGGGACUAAUUUACUAGAGUUACUUAUGAGGGGGUAUUAAAGUACUGCUGGUGUAGAGAUGAAAUUCUGUCAUACCUCUUUUCAAUAGAAAAAUAAUGGCACAGGUAUAGGCGAAAGCAUCCCCUUAUGUGAUAACUGACGUUGAGGGACGAAGGCUUUGUGUAGCGAACAGGAUUAGAUACCCCCGUAGUCAAAGCAGAAAAUGAUGAAUGUCAUAGAUUAGAUAAAUAAGUUUAUUCUAUAAAUGAAAGUGUAAGCAUUCCACCUCAAGAGUAAUUUGGCAACAUUGGAACUGAAAUCAUUAGACCGUUUCUGAAACCAGUAGUGAAGUAUGUUGUUUAAUUUGAUUGUCCGCAAAAAACCUUACCACAAUUUGAAUAUUUAUAUCUUUUAUUGUUUUUUUUUAUUUUUCUUCUCUUAUGAUUUGAUUUUUCUAUAGAAAGAAGAUUUUUCUAAAGAAAAAAAUAAAGAGAGGCGAUAUGAUAUAUUUACAAGCGUUGCACGGCUGUCUUCAGUUAAUGUCGCGAGACUCUGGUUAGUUCCAUUAAAUUAACGUAAACCCUUACUCUAUUUUUAUAUAGAGUAGUUCCCCGCUAUAUUGGAU